UACCGGCGGCUCGAGUGGUGGCCACUUUUAUUGGGUCUAAAGCGUCCGUAGCCGGCUUGGCAAGUCCCCUGGGAAAUCUGGCGGCUUAACCGUCAGGCGUCCAGAGGAUACUGCCAGGCUUGGGACCGGGAGAGGUGAGAGGUACCUCAGGGGUAGGGGUGAAAUCUUGUGAUCCCUGAGGGACCACCAGUGGCGAAGGCGUCUCACUAGAACGGGUCCGACGGUCAGGGACGAAAGCUGGGGGCACGAACCGG
This 254-nucleotide ribosomal RNA is filed under the name uncultured microorganism. RNAcentral describes it as "partial 16S ribosomal RNA". It matches the Rfam family "Archaeal small subunit ribosomal RNA", at positions 474 to 727 of the family's 1478-position model. The record is from RNAcentral.